This 463-nucleotide ribosomal RNA is filed under the name uncultured bacterium. RNAcentral describes it as "partial 16S ribosomal RNA". It matches the Rfam family "Bacterial small subunit ribosomal RNA", at positions 28 to 507 of the family's 1533-position model. The record is from RNAcentral.
GACGAACGCUGGCGGCGUGCUUAACACAUGCAAGUCGAACGGAAAGGCCCUGCUUUUGUGGGGUGCUCGAGUUGCGAACGGGUGAGUAACACGUGAGUAACCUGCCCUUGACUUUGGGAUAACUUCAGGAAACUGGGGCUAAUACCGGAUAGGAGCUCCUGCUGCAUGGUGGGGGUUGGAAAGUUUCGGCGGUUGGUGAUGGACUCGCGGCGGAUCAGCUUGUUGGUAGGGUAGUGGCUUACCAAGGCGUCGACGGGUAGCCGGCCUGAGAGGGGGACCAGCGACACUGGGACUGAGACCCGGCCCAGACUCCGACGGGAGGCAGCAGUGGGGAAUAUUGGACAAGGGGCGAAAGCCUGAUCCAGCAAUGCCGCGUGAGUGAGGAAGGCCUUAGGGUUGUAAAGCUCUUUGACCCGGGAGGAGAAUGACAGUAACGGGAGAAUAAGCUCCGGCUAACUCCGUG